AUCCUAAAUUUCGGAAUGAUUGUCUUAUUGGCACUAAUGAUCUGGAAGAGUUAAUGGUAAUAACUAGUAGUGAAAGUCCAAUUGUAGUGGUGCUCAACGGCAGCAUGGAACCUGCAUUUCGUAGAGAAAAUCUUCUCUUUCUAACAAGUCAAGUUGAAGAUCCCAUAUGAGUGGGAAAAAUUGUUGUUUUUAGUAUAGAAGGAAGAGAGAUUCCUAUAGUCCACCGAGACUUGAAGAUUCAUGAAAUGCAAAAUGGGCAUAUCAAGUCUUUGACCAAAGGAGAUAAUGAUGCGCUUGAUGACCGAAGCCUCUAUAAACAAGGACAGCAUUGGCUAGAGAAAAAAGAUGUCAUGGGAAGAGCCAGGGAAUUUGUUCCUUAUCCUGGAAUUGUGACGGUCGUCAUGAAUGACUAUCCUAAAUUUAAGUAUGCAGUGCUCUUUUUGCUGGAUUUAUUUGUGCUGGUCCACCAUGAAUAAGAAGUCUGCCGUGCUGUUUCCGGGAAGAUGCCACGCUUUUUGUUACUGGAUGUUUGGAG
This is an RNA transcript of Cebus imitator (Panamanian white-faced capuchin), 535 nucleotides long. It is a transcript of the gene named signal peptidase complex catalytic subunit SEC11A-like, with no coding region annotated. The record is from RefSeq and is a predicted model, not a curated record. The transcript has a single exon. Lineage: Eukaryota; Metazoa; Chordata; Mammalia; Primates; Cebidae.